CCGCGCGGCCAGAGCGCGCCGGGUGCCUGGUCCGGAGGGAAGGAGGGAAGAGGCAGGAAGGCAGGAAGGGAAGCGCUGCCCAAGUUGAGAAGAACGAUCCGAUUGAAACUUGGGCACCAGUUCAUUCUGCUCUCUGCUCCGGUUACCCCCGCGUCCUGCCCCCCAUCUCUAAACUUCAUUCUGGUAUUGAUGUGGCAGAGGGGAAGGAAGACAGACUCCUGGCUCAGCCAUUUAGAGCUUUGUCAUCUUGGGAAGAAAUGAAUUCCCGGGUUUGAUAAAUGAGGGAGAAGGGGAGAAGAGGAAGUAAAGGGAAUGUUUUGAGAAAAGUGAAGUGGCAAGAAUACGGGACUCACAUGAGGAUGACAGCACGAGGAGGCUAGGCUUUAGGGGUUACAGCCAAGCAGAGCGGACCUAGUGGAAGAAGACAAGACAAGGAUCCCAAACCCAAUUCACUGUGUCUUGGAUUCACCAGUGACACUGGAAACAGGAAGGAGAGGGGGUGGCACCUGGGAAGACCAGGUGAGCAUCUAGGAUUGAGGAGGCCAGACUGCCUGAUAUGCACUGAGGAACAGGAGUCUUAACUAAGUUGUGUCUGAGAGAAGAACUGAGAGCGAAACCAGGGGAGAUGGGAAGAGGUAGAGACCCUGGAUCUUGGUAGGAUGAACAGCAUUGUCUGAAACUGAGGGAGCUGAGCCAAAGGGAAGUGGAAGAGAGGUUGGGAUGGGGGAGGUGAACAGCUCCAGGGCUGGGUGCUUGUGUCCCAUGAAGCUUCCUGAGGAGUAGAGCAGGGGCGUGGCAAAGGGGGUAUAGCCCUUCCUGAAAGUGCUGUGUGUAUGGGGCUCCUGGGGCCUGUGCAGUCAGCUUUGGUCUCCACUUUCACUUUGCACCCUUCUCUGGCUGACUCUGGAAAGGAGGGAGAGGAGCACCUUGGUGUUAAUCAAGUACAGACGUCAAUAUACUUUGGGCAAAAUGGAUUUGAAAAUUAAAAGAAGAGGUGGAGAGUGGGUCUUUGGUUUGAUUAUUUAUGCCCUUCUUAUUCUAAAAAUAAAGUGACUUUCAGAAAUACAUACAAUAGUAUAAGAUAAAUAAUAAAUAAGUGAGAAUAUUAUUAAUAGAGAUAAAACUAUUAGGAAAAGUAACAAAUGUCCUGAGUCAGUAUAAGCAUUAGGUCACAAAUUUGAGUUUCAGAUUACUAAUGCAUAAAGGGAAGAGCAAAUGAAGCAGUGGUGUGCUCUUCAGUUUCCAUAAGAUUAAAAAAAAAAUCCAAAGUAGUCACUUAGCCAUUCAGAAGACAUUGUAAAAUACUGUGAGCAGUGUUCAUGACCAUAUCAUUUCAUAAAUGAAACAAAUUUAUUAGGUUUG
Molecule: long non-coding RNA, 1362 nt
Organism: Talpa occidentalis (Iberian mole)
Lineage: Eukaryota; Metazoa; Chordata; Mammalia; Eulipotyphla; Talpidae
Exons: 3
Source: RefSeq, a predicted model, not a curated record